RNAcentral lists this ribosomal RNA (468 nucleotides) under uncultured bacterium. RNAcentral's name for it is "partial 16S ribosomal RNA". It matches the Rfam family "Bacterial small subunit ribosomal RNA", at positions 28 to 507 of the family's 1533-position model. The record is from RNAcentral.
GACGAACGCUGGCGGCGUGCUUAACACAUGCAAGUCGAACGGAAAGGCCCUGCUUUUGUGGGGUGCUCGAGUGGCGAACGGGUGAGUAACACGUGAGUAACCUGCCCUUGACUUUGGGAUAACUUCAGGAAACUGGGGCUAAUACCGGAUAGGAGCUCCUGCUGCAUGGUGGGGGUUGGAAAGUUUCGGCGGUUGGGGAUGGACUCGCGGCUUAUCAGCUUGUUGGUGGGGUAGUGGCUUACCAAGGCUUUGACGGGUAGCCGGCCUGAGAGGGUGACCGGCCACAUUGGGACUGAGAUACGGCCCAGACUCCUACGGGAGGCAGCAGUGGGGAAUAUUGCACAAUGGGCGGAAGCCUGAUGCAGCAACGCCGCGUGCGGGAUGACGGCCUUCGGGUUGUAAACCGCUUUCGCCUGUGACGAAGCGUGAGUGACGGUAAUGGGUAAAGAGGCACUGGCUAACUACGUG